This 414-nucleotide ribosomal RNA is filed under the name uncultured microorganism. RNAcentral's name for it is "bacterial SSU rRNA". It matches the Rfam family "Archaeal small subunit ribosomal RNA", at positions 330 to 744 of the family's 1478-position model. The record is from RNAcentral.
GCGCACCAGGCGAGAAAACUUCGCAAUGCGCGAAAGCGCGACGAGGGGAUUCCAAGUGCAUGCACUAAGUGUAUGCUUUUCGUGAGUUUAGAACGCUCACGGAAUAAGGGCUGGGUAAGACUGGUGCCAGCCGCCGCGGUAAUACCAGCGGCCCUAGUGGUGAUCGUUAUUAUUGGGCCUAAAGCGUCCGUAGCCGGUCCGGUAAAUCUCUGGGUAAAUCGUUGGGCUUAACUCAGCGAAUUCUGGGGAGACUGCUGGACUUGGGACCGGGAGAGGUCGGAGGUACUCCAGGGGUAGGGGUGAAAAUCCUGUAAUCCUUGGGGGACCACCGGUGGCGAAGGCGUUCCGACCAGAACGGGUCCGACGGUAAGGGACGAAGCCCUGGGGCGCGAACCGGAUUAGAUACCCCUGUAG